This 259-nucleotide ribosomal RNA is filed under the name uncultured prokaryote. RNAcentral's name for it is "partial 16S ribosomal RNA". It matches the Rfam family "Bacterial small subunit ribosomal RNA", at positions 524 to 782 of the family's 1533-position model. The record is from RNAcentral.
UACGGAGGAUGCGAGCGUUAUCCGGAUUUAUUGGGUUUAAAGGGUGCGUAGGCGGCUUUUUAAGUCAGCGGUGAAAUUUUGCAGCUUAACUGUAACAGUGCCGUUGAUACUGGGGAGCUAGGAUUUGGUUGCUGUGGGUGGAAUGUGUGGUGUAGCGGUGAAAUGCUUAGAGAUCACACAGAACACCAAUUGCGUAGGCAGCUUACUGAGCCGACACUGACGCUGAGGCACGAAAGCGUGGGGAUCAAACAGGAUUAGA